This 379-nucleotide unclassified non-coding RNA is filed under the name fungal sp. RNAcentral's name for it is "partial internal transcribed spacer region". The stretch from base 1 to 46 matches the Rfam family "Eukaryotic small subunit ribosomal RNA", at positions 1786 to 1831 of the family's 1831-position model. The record is from RNAcentral. Lineage: Eukaryota; Fungi.
AAGUCGUAACAAGGUUUCCGUAGGUGAACCUGCGGAAGGAUCAUUAACACUUUUGAAAGCAUCCAAUAUCAACAAAUCACAACCAAACGGUCAACUAUCUCCUCCCUAUUUCGCACACCGGAGACGGUACGAGUAGGCUAACAUGUAAAUAACAAGCUCAAGCAAUUGCGCAUGUUAUUUUCAAACACAAGAUAACCCCUUUUAAUUAUAUUAUUCAUUUAAUAUAAACGAACAACUCUUCGAAUUUGCCCUUGAGUUGAUUUUAUUCAAAUCAAGAACAAGUCCGAACUAAACUAAAAUAUACAUUCGAUAUAUUUUUAUUUUACGAAAUAAUAUAUAUUUAUAAGAACAACUCUUAGCAAUGGAUAUCUUGGUUCUC